RNAcentral lists this ribosomal RNA (1224 nucleotides) under Triticum aestivum (bread wheat). RNAcentral's name for it is "partial small subunit ribosomal RNA". Lineage: Eukaryota; Viridiplantae; Streptophyta; Magnoliopsida; Poales; Poaceae. The record is from RNAcentral.
AUGACUCAACACAAGUCACCACAGAUAACACAAACCCUUGGAACAAGGAAGAAUUUUCCAGCAGAUGAUGUCUGGGAUGAUAGAAAUGAUAGACAAUGGGACCAGCUAUUGGCUCCUUUUACAUCUGAUGGUGCAAACAACAAUUUGAUACUCAUGACAACUAGAAACCCAUCUUUUGCAAAAAGAAGAGGAACAACUGAACCAAUUAAAUUAAGUGCAUUGGGAAAAGAUGAUUUCUGUUUACUGUUUAAAUUCCCCGCCGAGGGGUUAAUUCAUAUGUGGAUUUCACAGGGAUUUGUGAAGCGUGAUCAUUCAACUGGGAGUUUGGAGGACAUAGGGCGGUCCUAUCUAACUGACUUGGUAAACCUGGGUUUCUUUGAACAGGUUGAAGAAAUUGAAGAAGUCAUCUCUUUGGGUACACAAAAAUCCUAUGCAAUUAAUGGUCUUAUGCAUGAUUUUGCGAGGGUUGUUUCAAGAACAGAGUGUGCAACAAUAGAUGUGAAAAACUUGAGGACAUUGGUUUUAAUUGGGCAGUAUGACUCUUUCUUCUUCAAAGUCUUCAAAGAACUAUUCCAAAAGGAACAUCAUUUGCGAGUGCUUCAUUUGUCUGCAACAUCUGUUGAUUCUCACUCCUUCAUGUGUAGUUGGAUAAUUCAUCUAGAGAAUUGUGGGCAGGGCUGGAUACUUCCAUGUCUAGAAAGGUUUCCAUUUCUUACAAGGUUGAAGUUGAGCAACAUGUGGGAAGUAAGAGAACUAUCAGUUCGGUCAUUGGAGGAGCUAGUUUUAGUUGAGAUGCUAGAGUUGGAGAAUUGUGUCUGCACUUCUCCGGGAGAUAUGAACUCUAGGUUAAGGUCUUAUGAAAUUCGUAAUCUGCAAUUGUCCUCACUUGCAAGUAUUGGCUCCUCUUCGUCCGUCAGCCACAUUUUCCGAGCUUUUAAUCAGCAGAGUUUCAACGUUUCUGACUAUGAAAUUAGGCCAAACAGUCUUUUGGAGAGUUUGAGCAUAAAAAUCUGCAUAAAACUCUUCUCUUCAGACAUUCUGUUACCGCACACACAUGAAGACGUGAUAGCUGCAGAUCAUAAUGCCUUUCCAUACCUUGAAAGUCUCAGUAUUGGUUCAUGUGGAAUAAUGGGGAAAUGGCUAUCUAUGAUGCUUCAACAUGCGCUGGCCAUGAAGGAAUUGGUGAUAAAGGACUGUCCAAAGUUGACAAAGUUGACAGAUUGA